RNAcentral lists this ribosomal RNA (317 nucleotides) under uncultured bacterium. RNAcentral describes it as "bacterial SSU rRNA". It matches the Rfam family "Bacterial small subunit ribosomal RNA", at positions 28 to 334 of the family's 1533-position model. The record is from RNAcentral.
GAUGAGCGCUGGCGGCGUGCCUAAUACAUGCAAGUCGAGCGAACGGACGAGAAGCUUGCUUCUCUGAUGUUAGCGGCGGACGGGUGAGUAACACGUGGAUAACCUACCUAUAAGACUGGGAUAACUUCGGGAAACCGGAGCUAAUACCGGAUAAUAUUUUGAACCGCAUGGCUCGAAAGUGGAAGACGGUCUUGCUGUCACUUAUAGAUGGAUCCGCGCUGCAUUAGCUAGUUGGUAAGGUAACGGCUUAUCAAAGCAACGAUGCAUAGCCGACCUGAGAGGGUGAUCGGCCACAUUGGGACUGAGACACGGCCCAA